This 520-nucleotide unclassified non-coding RNA is filed under the name uncultured Glomus. Its description in RNAcentral is "SSU rRNA". It matches the Rfam family "Eukaryotic small subunit ribosomal RNA", at positions 569 to 1092 of the family's 1831-position model. Lineage: Eukaryota; Fungi; Glomeromycota; Glomeromycetes; Glomerales; Glomeraceae. The record is from RNAcentral.
AGCAGCCGCGGUAAUUCCAGCUCCAAUAGCGUAUAUUAAAGUUGUUGCAGUUAAAAGCUCGUAGUUGAAUUUCGGGGUUAGUAGGUUGGUCAUGCCUCUGGUAUGUACUGGUCUCACUGAUUCCUCCUUCCUGAUGAACCUUAAUGCCAUUAAUUUGGUGUUUUGGGGAAUUUGGACUGUUACUUUGAAAAAAUUAGAGUGUUUAAAGCAAGCUAACGCUUGAAUACAUUAGCAUGGAAUAAUGAAAUAGGACGUUCGAUCCUAUUUUGUUGGUUUCUAGGAUUGACGUAAUGAUUAAUAGGGAUAGUUGGGGGCAUUAGUAUUCAAUUGUCAGAGGUGAAAUUCUUGGAUUUAUUGAAGACUAACUACUGCGAAAGCAUUUGACAAGGAUGUUUUCAUUAAUCAAGAACGAAAGUUAGGGAUCGAAGACGAUCAGAUACCGUCGUAGUCUUAACCAUAAACUAUGCCGACUAGGGAUCGGAUGAUGUUAAUUUUUUAAUGACUCAUUCGGCGCCUUACG